UUUUCGGACAACGGAUAUAGAGGACAGUGGCGGACGGGUGAGUAACGCGUGGGUAACCUGCCUUGUACUGGGGGACAACAGUUGGAAACGACUGCUAAUACCGCAUAAGCGCACAGGAUUGCAUGAUCUGGUGUGAAAAACUCCGGUGGUAUAAGAUGGACCCGCGUCUGAUUAGCUAGUUGGUGAGAUAACAGCCCACCAAGGCGACGAUCAGUAGCCGACCUGAGAGGGUGACCGGCCACAUUGGGACUGAGACACGGCCCAGACUCC
This 270-nucleotide ribosomal RNA is filed under the name uncultured Lachnospiraceae bacterium. RNAcentral's name for it is "partial 16S ribosomal RNA". It matches the Rfam family "Bacterial small subunit ribosomal RNA", at positions 72 to 339 of the family's 1533-position model. Lineage: Bacteria; Bacillati; Bacillota; Clostridia; Lachnospirales; Lachnospiraceae. The record is from RNAcentral.